This 75-nucleotide transfer RNA is filed under the name Bradyrhizobium jicamae. Its description in RNAcentral is "tRNA-His". It matches the Rfam family "tRNA". From Rfam's summary of the family: Transfer RNA (tRNA) molecules are approximately 80 nucleotides in length. Lineage: Bacteria; Pseudomonadati; Pseudomonadota; Alphaproteobacteria; Hyphomicrobiales; Nitrobacteraceae. The record is from RNAcentral.
GCGCCCGUAGCUCAGCUGGAUAGAGCACCAGACUAUGAAUCUGGGGGCAGGAGUUCGAAUCUCUUCGGGCAGGCG